Long non-coding RNA from Triticum dicoccoides, 2780 nucleotides. RefSeq lists it as uncharacterized. Lineage: Eukaryota; Viridiplantae; Streptophyta; Magnoliopsida; Poales; Poaceae. The transcript has 8 exons. The record is from RefSeq and is a predicted model, not a curated record.
CUCGCCUCCCCCUCAGCCGCCUCCUCUCUCCCCGCUCGUCCCCUCCUCUCCCCCACGCCGCCCCUCCUCUUCCCGCUCGUCUCCUCCUCUCCUCUUCCCUCGACGUCGUCCCUGCUUCCCUCUCUGACCCGGGCCAGAGCCUCGCCGGCCGCUCCCCCCAGCCGGUGUCCCUCUCCAGAUGCAUCCUCCACGAGAUCCGGGUACGGAGAGAGUCAUGGUGGCAGGGGCAGAUGCGUGAGGAGGAGAAGGCCGUGGUCAUGGUGGCGCGACGGAGGUCGUGGCUCGCCCCCGCCGCUUCUCUCGCGCCCCCCUUUUCCCUGCCCCCUCCCCGGCGUCCUUGCCUCUGCCAUGGCCUCCACCCUCCCUCUCCAUCGACCUUCCUGAGCUCUCCAUCUUCGGGGGUCGCCACCAUCCGAUGCCGCACGCCAUGAUUCCAGAUCGGCUGCAGGUUGAGAAGGAGCGGUUGCUGCAGUGAGGGCAGCAGGGUCCCCACCCCGGUGGCUGCGUGCAGAGGGGGAGUGGUCAAGGACGGUUGCCAGUUCAUGGAGGAGAGAUGCAACACAGCCGUGAGCUCUUUCUUCCUCCUUUCCUCAUCUUCCCAUGGUGAACUGAGCUCAUACUUCCUUUUUUUUCUUCUAAUUGUGCACAUAGUGUUUGGGUUGCAGUUGAUUCCUACACUCAGUUUCAGUGGUGGCAUGGUGUCCAUCUCCAGGCCGGUUGCAACCUUCUGCCCCCAUCAUUCCCUGUAUUUUUUUUUCAUAAUUUACACACUAAGUUGUAGAUUGGUCGGAUCUAUUGGCAUUAGGCAGCACAAGAAUAACAAUAUUUGUCUGCUUUUUCAUGUGCAGGUUCAGCAGCGGCAAUGCUCAAGAUAGAGUUAGGCCGGUCUGAAUAAACAGAGAUGAGCAGCAGCAGGGUUGGGUGCCCCAUUUGUACGCAUUGCAUUGGUUAAUUUUGUUGUGCUCAUGUUUCCGUUUCAUGCCUCAAGCUCAAGACGCGCGAGGUGAUGGUUUGGUUGGGAUGGUGCUGCUGCUCCGCAGUACGAGCUUCUGCACUGUGUUUUGCUCUCUCAACUUGCCUCCCCUUGAAUGAAUGGACGCAGAAUAAUGUGUUGACAAGCUACAUGAGGUUGGGCUUUGCGAUUGCACCCUGUUUGUGUGCUGGCAGGAAGGAAGAACUAAGAAAAAGUGUGUUGUUUCGCUGGAUUCUUCUUCCUUUGAUUUCACCAAACUUUGUGGCAGUGGUUGGCUUCUCGACUCCGACACUCUGUAUGGACUAGCCCGGUCUUUGCCCAGAAGUUCUAGAAGGUACAAUGCUGAAAAUUCAGUAGAACAUGGUGCUCCUAUAAAUACUGAUAAUCCGGAACCUGGCAACCAUUGGCUUUUGAAGUUUGGCAGUUUGUUAAAGAGCAAAUUGAUCCAAGUGAAUUGAUCCAAGUAAAGAGCAAAACUGAAGUACCAAUGUACCUCUUAUAAAUUUGGUCACUAUUGUGCUCUCUGACAGGAAUGCAAGUUUUGUGAUAAAGGGUCCACAGCCAAAGCACCACUCGAGUUUCAUAUGCAGUACAAAGACGAGGCUAGAAAUUGAUCUUAAGUCUGAAGGAACGUCACUUUUGUGAGUUUUGUUUCUCUACUCCCUCGUAUGCAGUACAAAGACGAGGCUAGAAAUUGACCUCAAGUCUGAAGGAACGGCACUUUUGUGAGGAAAGAAGAACAAGGAUUAGCAAGCAGCUAAGGAGGCUGCAACACCUCGUGCCCAACAUGGACAAGCAAACAAACACUUCAGACAUGCUGCGUAUUGCUGUAGACUACAUCAAAGUGGGUGCUGCAGGACCAAAUUGAGGUUGUUGAUCUGGAGAUGACUGGCUCAACUGAGACUGUACCACUUCACCGCCUUGACGAAUCGAAGGAUUACUUAGUAAUUUUUCUGGUGACACCAAUCAGGCCAGAUUGUAAGCCCUUCCCUGCAGUUUGUUUGAUCAGGUUACCCCAUUGUUCAAAGUGGAUAUGCAUGGUGCUUGUGGAUUCAUGCUAUUUGGACCGAAUUUGGCUUUUUGACCUGCACAACAUGGCGGUAGUGUAGAAAAGAUCUAAACAGAUUCUGAAUUAACCCAACUAGACAUGGAAACCAAGAACGACCUAUCGGCUGGGUCCAGUUCCUCAUCUUUGUCUCCGAGCAAAAUGAUCAUCUGGAAGCGGAUGCUAUCAAGAUCAUGCCAAAGGCAGAGCAUGCCAAAGGCGAUGCUCAUUCCCGUUCUUAGUGAGAUGGGUUUAUUCGAUGCAAAGUAUGAGCAUUGCAGACUCUGGCGAGCUGUUGAAGGUCGAUGAGGAGGACGCCGCCACCACCGUCAUCAGGCUGGUCCACAUCCACGCGCUGCUCGGCGUCGCCAGGUCACCGGCACAACUCCUCACGCCCAGGUCGUUCAACAUUUUCUUUCGCUUUUGGUGUGUCGCAUUUAGAGUCUUUCUUUCCCAUUUUACCGUGUUUGCAUGGUAAGAUGUUUGGUUGGAUUUGAAGGUUCAUAGCCUUGGGUCCAAAGCUUCAAGCUCUUAUAGAAAUUAGAACUGAGGGCCUUUUAAAAUGAGUCCUGCAUAAUAGUGUUGUUCAGUGGGAUGCAGAUUGUUUGGUAGUCUGAUCGGCUAUCCUUGGUGCUGAUUUAUGUAUUGAUUUCAUCAUCAUAUGACUACAAUAAAGAAGUUAUGUGUAUAAAUAUUAUGAUCUGCUGAUACUUUGCAUCAGUGAUUUCAAUUCUAUUGGCCCUCCUUAAGAUUGCUUGGGAA